GAGACCACCACAUCAAUCGUUCAUCACCAUCUCCAUCUCACGGUGUGUACCCUCAAUCCCCGGAAUAGAACGAUCCCUACUUACUUUUACUACUAAUGACUUUUCAGGGUUAAAUUAUGCGCUUGCUUUCGGGCGCAUCAUGAAGGGACAACGCCCAUGUGUAAUUUUUAGUUCUUCGAUCAUAAACGAAGAAACAUGAAAACAAAAACGCAAUUAUCUCAUUUUUAGGCUCCAAGUUAGCUUUAAUAUGAUAUAUUUUUGAGGCAUAAAAGUUAUUAGCAUAACACGAAAACGAUUGCAGAAGAUGAAUGCUAAGAAAGAAUUAGGGUUUAACGAUGAAUGAAAAGAUUAAAAAUGAAGUUUAAGUAUGUGUUUUGUAGGAUUUUUUAAUAAGAUAUUUUUCUUUAGGGGCCGUGACCUCUUACCCAAUUUUAGCCCAAAAAUUGCCCACUUACUCCACCAAGAGUUUUUUUAACCCCAUUUACCCAAUCUAACAGUGUUUGACAGUAUUGCCCUCAUUUUAAUUAACAAAUUACACUCAUAUCUCUCUCUCCUCCCCCUCAUCGAUUUCUUUCUCUCUCUUUCUCUAACCUCGUCUCAGGCUCUCUUUCUCUCUCUCUCUCUCUAAACCACCACACCCACCACUCCACCGUCGAUGUCGGCCUCCACUGCCGCUGCUCUGUCCCACCGUCGGACCACCAGAGGAUGACGCCAUCCAACUCCACGAUCCCAACCCCUCUGGGCUUCGCCGGUUUUGUUUGUCAGAUGUCCGAGAAACUCUCCACGUCGGAAUCGGGUCUGGGCUUCUCCAGUUUUGUUUAUCAGAUGUCCGGGAAGCUCCGAAGCUCCAAGCCGGAAUCGAGUCUGGGCUUCGCUUGCAGCCCGGGACCGGAGAUACAAUCAAGUUGCGAUUUCCGUGAUGAUCAGUAGCUGGCGAGAGAGACAGAAGCAAAUCGAAGACGUACCAGAUUCUACUGGCGGUCGUCGAUUCCUUCAGAAGGUCCAACCCGGCCUCGCCGAGCUUCUCAGCGACGAGGACCGUCUGCUUGGCGUCGAGCCUGGCCACGGAGAGCACGAUGACAAGUUUCGGCGCAGCGAUGGCGAGAGCCGGCGUCGUGGGCGACUUG
Rosa chinensis is the source of this 1127-nucleotide long non-coding RNA. RefSeq lists it as uncharacterized. The transcript is spliced from 3 exons. NCBI's taxonomy places the organism in Eukaryota, Viridiplantae, Streptophyta, Magnoliopsida, Rosales, Rosaceae. The record is from RefSeq and is a predicted model, not a curated record.